Molecule: long non-coding RNA, 2034 nt
Filed under: Lynx pardinus (Iberian lynx)
Lineage: Eukaryota; Metazoa; Chordata; Mammalia; Carnivora; Felidae
Source: RNAcentral
UAAACCUGCCCAACAGGUUCCGAAGAUGUAAAAAGCCCAGCAACAGGAAGCCAGUUGACCCCAUUUUUAAAACCCUAUUCAAAAUAGCCCUCACCCUUGCCUCCCUCUUGCCACUCAAGGUGAAAGGUAGCUGCAGAUCCUAUACAGUACAUAACUGGCCUCAGAUCUCCAGGAAGACCAGAUGAGCUCCCAUAUCAGAAGGCUGACUUUUCUACAGCAUUCAGUAGAAGUUAAAGGACCAAUGAACCACCCUCCUCUCUCCACCAGGUUCGUAACAAACUGAGACACACACACAGGACUCGAAGGAAGGAUCAGAAGGAAAGUCGAAUUGCUGUGGAGCUGGAUUGAGAACAAUAUUUGGACCCUGAAGGGGCUUACCAAUACACGGCCUCAUGGUGUGCACUGACUUUCCAGAUCUGUCUGUCACAGGCCCCUGCCCUGACCAGCAGAAACUUCCCAGGAACUUCGACAGAUGGAGAAGAGAACUUCCACCCCUUGGCAAGGUACAUGCAAGGGGAGAGAGUAAAAGAGGCCGUCACACGCAGUAAGUGGCCUCUGCCCGUAUAAAUUCCUUUGCAGGAGGAUCGUGGGUGAAUAACUGUCAGAUUCUUGCUACUUCACCAAUGAGAUAAGUCCCUCUUUCUCCCCAGGGUGGAGUAAGUAAUACAGAAGAAGGUCAAAGGUUAGUACCUUGCUACUCAAAGUAUACCCUUGGGCUGACAUGAUCACCCGAAAGCUUCUUGGAAAUACAGAAUCUCAGGCCCAUCCCUACCAAAUACCAAUGUGUGUUUCAACGAAUUCCCUGGGGUGAUUCGUGUACACAUGACCGUUUGAGAACCAGUGCUUAACUGAAGUACUUUAACAGGAAUCCCAGAACAGGGCAAAAAAAUUUCUCAGAAGCUGAAGUGAGGCGGCCGGGGGGCCAAAGCCAUCUUCAACAUUUCAUAGUGAAGCUUGGAAUUUUAAACUAGAGCCACAGUUUCAGUUGUUUCAAACUAAAUGAAUUGAAUACAUUCCUGGUCUGCUGUUAGCCUGUGUUUAGCCAAAGAGUUGGAAGCGAUCAACAGAAAAUAAUGAUUGCAUUUGUUCACUUAACAGGCCUCAGUUUCAAGCAUCUCAAAAACUGAGAAUCACCAUCAAAUGGGAGGCUCUAAAGGACAAAUACUGCUUGGUGGCCAAUCACAUGGACAGCUCCCCUGCCCAGCUUCUGGCUUCAAGGGAUCCAUACCACGUGAUCUUUAUUUUACAGGCAGCUUAGAACUGGAAACAAUCUGACAAUUCUCUCGAUGACAAGUCUAGUGCUUAGUGGCAGAUUUUGUCAUAUAUACGUGAACCCCAAUUGUUUACUCAAUUCUUCAAGAAUCCAAAUAUUGCAUUUAAUUUUCUAUCCCACAGCAUGGUCAGAAAUGCAAUCGGUUUUGCAACUUUCACAUCUACCAUACCAAAAAGUACUUUGAACAACGUUUAUGGGUCUCUCCCACAAACGCCAAUGGAAAAUUAUUGCCAGCAAGAGGCUUACCUCCUGGCUACCAUCUGCCCUGUUUGAAACAUUUCAAUCUCGGAUUGCAGGGGUUUUUUACAACUCGCUUCAGGGCUUUGGGGAAGACACUCUGCUUUGCCAACAGCAGGCUCCACUCUCUUUCCUGAAGUCUGUACCGCUUGUGAGCUGUUGGUAUUUCUUCAGGACCAUCGGCACAGGCACAGAGUGAUCGGAGGAUUGAGUCUUCAUGCCUGGUUAAAGAGAGAGAUUGGAAAGAGUGUUUAGCUGAUCAGAAAGGAAAUCUCUAACCCUUGCUACCCAGAACUGAACCGGUAUAAACUGGCACAUUCAAAAGAAGCUACUGGGUUUACUUAACAUUCCACUUGGUUCCCUGUUAAGAGUUCAAAGCAUGCUAUUGCUUAGUCCAGAGAAAACUAGUAAAUAGCGGGGUGUCGAAUAUUAUAUGAUAUAUAGCUUUUUUUGUAAUAGUAUUUACACAGAACCUGUCAGCAUAUUAACACAAGGCAUUUUCACAGUAAGCUAUUUUAGAAGCG